RNAcentral lists this ribosomal RNA (447 nucleotides) under uncultured bacterium. Its description in RNAcentral is "partial 16S ribosomal RNA". It matches the Rfam family "Bacterial small subunit ribosomal RNA", at positions 329 to 792 of the family's 1533-position model. The record is from RNAcentral.
GUCCAGACUCCUACGGGAGGCAGCAGUGGGGGAUAUUGCACAAUGGGGGGAACCCUGAUGCAGCGACGCCGCGUGGGUGAAGGAGCGUUUCGGCGCGUAAAGCCCUAUCGGCAGGGAAGAAGGAGGACGGUACCUGACUAAGAAGCCCCGGCUAACUACGUGCCAGCAGCCGCGGUAAUACGUAUGGUGCAAGCGUUAUCCGGAUUUACUGGGUGUAAAGGGAGCGCAGGCGGCGCGUUAAGCCUGGUGUGAAAGCCCGCGGCUCAACCCCGGGCAUGCAUUGGAAACUGGCGGGCUGGAGUGCCGGAGAGGUAAGCGGAAUUCCUAGUGUAGCGGUGAAAUGCGUAGAUAUUAGGAGGAACACCAGUGGCGAAGGCGGCUUACUGGACGGCAACUGACGCUGAGGCUCGAAAGCGUGGGGAGCAAACAGGAUUAGAUACCCGAGUA